UGAGUACGAGAUGCUACGGCAUCGAAGCAGUCUAUGUCAUACUUCCAAGAAAAGCUUGCAAUGUCAUAAACAAAUAAUGCCUGUACCAUAACCGACACAGGUGGGUAGGUAGAGUAUACUAAGGGGCGCGAGAUAACUCUCUCUAAGGAACUCGGCAAAAUGACUCCGUAACUUCGGGAGAAGGAGUGCCUUAUUUUUAUAAGGUUGCAAUAACAAGAUCCAAGCAACUGUUUACCAAAAACACAGGUCUCCGCUAAGUCGUAAGACGAUGUAUGGGGGCUGACGCCUGCCCAGUGCCAGAAGGUUAAAGAAGUUGGUUAGCAUUAGCGAAGCUGAUAACUGAAGCCCUGGUGAACGGCGGCCGUAACGAUAACGGUCCUAAGGUAGCGAAAUUCCUUGUCGGGUAAGUUCCGACCCGCACGAAAGGCGUAAUGAUUUGGAUACUGUCUCGGAGAGGGGCUCGGUGAAAUAGACUUGUCUGUGAAGAUGCGGACUACCUGCACCAGGACAGAAAGACCCUAUGAAGCUUUACUGCAACUUGAGAUUGAAAUUGGACUUUAUCUGCGCAGUAUAGGUGGGAGACGUUGAAAAUAUUCUUGCGGGAAUAUUGGAGUCAUCAGUGAGAUACCACUCUUAUAAUGUUAGAUUUCUAACUUUGUAUCAUUAUCUGGUCAAAGAACGGUUUCAGGCGGGCAGUUUGACUGGGGCGGUCGCCUCCCAAACGGUAACGGAGGCGCACAAAGGUUUCCUCUGAACGUGUAGAAAUCGUAUCUAGAGUGUAAAGGCAUAAGGAAGCUUGACUGUGAGACCUACAAGUCGAGCAGGGACGAAAGUCGGUCUUAGUGAUCUGACGGUGCUGAGUGGAAAGGCCGUCACUCAACGGAUAAAAGUUACUCUAGGAUAACAGGCUGAUCUCCCCCAAGAGUUCACAUCGACGGGGAGGUUUGGCACCUCGAUGUCGGCUCAUCGCAUCCUGGGGCGGUAGUACGUCCCAAGGGUUGGGCUGUUCGCCCAUGAAAGCGGUACGCGAGCUGGGUUCAGAACGUCGUGAGACAGUUCGGUCCAUAUCCGGUGUAGGCGUUAGAAUAUUGAGAGGAGCCUUCUUUAGUACGAGAGGACCGAGAAGGACAUACCUCUGGUGUACCAGUUAUCGUGCCAACGGUAAACGCUGGGUAGCCAUGUAUGGAGAGGAUAACCGCUGAAAGCAUCUAAGUGGGAAGCCCACCUCAAGAUAAGUAUUCGC
This 1243-nucleotide ribosomal RNA is filed under the name metagenome. RNAcentral's name for it is "bacterial LSU rRNA". It matches the Rfam family "Bacterial large subunit ribosomal RNA", at positions 1564 to 2815 of the family's 2925-position model. The record is from RNAcentral.